Molecule: ribosomal RNA, 473 nt
Filed under: uncultured bacterium
Lineage: Bacteria
Description: bacterial SSU rRNA
Rfam family: Bacterial small subunit ribosomal RNA
Source: RNAcentral
AUUGAACGCUGGCGGCAUGCUUUACACAUGCAAGUCGAACGGCAGCACGGGGGCAACCCUGGUGGCGAGUGGCGAACGGGUGAGUAAUAUAUCGGAACGUACCCGGAAAUGGGGGAUAACGUAGCGAAAGUUACGCUAAUACCGCAUAUGCCCUAAGGGGGAAAGCGGGGGACUCGCAAGAACCUCGCGUUUUCGGAGCGGCCGAUAUCGGAUUAGCUAGUAGGUGAGGUAAAGGCUCACCUAGGCGACGAUCCGUAGCUGGUCUGAGAGGACGACCAGCCACACUGGAACUGAGACACGGUCCAGACUCCUACGGGAGGCAGCAGUGGGGAAUUUUGGACAAUGGGCGCAAGCCUGAUCCAGCCAUGCCGCGUGAGUGAAGAAGGCCUUCGGUUGUAAAGGUCUCUUUCUAGCCGGAAAGAAAACGACACGGGUUAAUAACCUAGUGUGGAUGACGGUACCGGAAGAAGAAG